CACUCCUACGGGAGGCAGCAGUGGGGAAUUUUGGACAAUGGGCGAAAGCCUGAUCCAGCAAUGCCGCGUGAGUGAAGAAGGCCUUCGGGUUGUAAAGCUCUUUUGUCAGGGAAGAAACGGUGAGAGCUAAUAUCUUUUGCUAAUGACGGUACCUGAAGAAUAAGCACCGGCUAACUACGUGCCAGCAGCCGCGGUAAUACGUAGGGUGCAAGCGUUAAUCGGAAUUACUGGGCGUAAAGCGUGCGCAGGCGGUUUUGUAAGUCUGAUGUGAAAUCCCCGGGCUCAACCUGGGAAUUGCAUUGGAGACUGCAAGGCUAGAAUCUGGCAGAGGGGGGUAGAAUUCCACGUGUAGCAGUGAAAUGCGUAGAUAUGUGGAGGAACACCGAUGGCGAAGGCAGCCCCCUGGGUCAAGAUUGACGCUCAUGCACGAAAGCGUGGGGAGCAAACAGGAUUAGAUACCCCGGUAGUCCCAUG
Molecule: ribosomal RNA, 474 nt
Filed under: uncultured organism
Description: partial 16S ribosomal RNA
Rfam family: Bacterial small subunit ribosomal RNA
Source: RNAcentral